GGUCCAUUAGCUCAGCCGGCAGAGCAUCUGCCUUUUAAGCAGAGGGUCCGGGGUUCGAGCCCCCGAUGGGCCACCA
This 76-nucleotide transfer RNA is filed under the name Butyricicoccus pullicaecorum. RNAcentral's name for it is "tRNA-Lys". It matches the Rfam family "tRNA". From Rfam's summary of the family: Transfer RNA (tRNA) molecules are approximately 80 nucleotides in length. Their secondary structure includes four short double-helical elements and three loops (D, anti-codon, and T loops). Further hydrogen bonds mediate the characteristic L-shaped molecular structure. tRNAs have two regions of fundamental functional importance: the anti-codon, which is responsible for specific mRNA codon recognition, and the 3' end, to which the tRNAs corresponding amino acid is attached (by aminoacyl-tRNA synthetases). tRNAs cope with the degeneracy of the genetic code in two manners: having more than one tRNA (with a specific anti-codon) for a particular amino acid; and 'wobble' base-pairing, i.e. permitting non-standard base-pairing at the 3rd anti-codon position. Lineage: Bacteria; Bacillati; Bacillota; Clostridia; Eubacteriales; Butyricicoccaceae. The record is from RNAcentral. RNAcentral also lists the same sequence under 1 other name.